AUACGUAGGUGACAAGCGUUAUCCGGAUUUACUGGGCGUAAAGGGCGUGUAGGCGGUCUUGCAAGUCAGAAGUGAAAUUCCUGAGCUCAACUCGGGCGCUGCUUCCGAAACUGCAGGACUUGAGUGCUGGAGGGGAUAGCGGAAUUCCUAGUGGCGCGGUAAAAUGCGCAGAUAUUAGGAAGAAUACCAGUGGCGAAGGCGGUUUGCUGGCUGCAUACUGACGCUGAAGCGCGAAAGCCAGGGGAGCGAACGGGAUUAGAUACCCCGGUAGUCCUGGCAGUAAACGAUGUAUGCUGGGUGUGAGACUAGCGAUAGUUUCGUGCCGAAGUUAACGCGAUAAGCAUACCGCCUGGGGAGUACGGUCGCAAGAUUGAAACUAAAAGGAAUUGACGGGG
RNAcentral lists this ribosomal RNA (395 nucleotides) under uncultured bacterium. Its description in RNAcentral is "partial 16S ribosomal RNA". It matches the Rfam family "Bacterial small subunit ribosomal RNA", at positions 523 to 918 of the family's 1533-position model. The record is from RNAcentral.